Non-coding RNA from Coturnix japonica (Japanese quail), 1464 nucleotides. Lineage: Eukaryota; Metazoa; Chordata; Aves; Galliformes; Phasianidae. The record is from RefSeq and is a predicted model, not a curated record.
AGAAAAACUUGUUGGAAAUGUGAUGCUUUCUUGGUUAGUUUGGAAAAGGGACAAAUUUUGUUCUGUUGAUCCUUGAGCUCUGCAGUGCAAACCAACAGAAACAGCAUUUAAGACAUCAGCUUGGGUUUUGAUGUUGUGCACUCACAAUUGUACAUAGGAUGGAAGGAGAGGCAGGAUUGGAGCCCAGCAGGCGCUGCAAAAACAUGUAAUGAGAAACGGAGUAAAACCAAGUGUGGGAGGAAAUCUCUUCCAGGUCUGCAGAGUUAGAGCAGAAUGAAUGAAGGAAAGUGUAUCGGUCCAUGUAAAUUGUGUGAGGCACCAUUUCUCCAAAACGGCAUUUGUUCAAUGUUAAGAUAACCAAAUACAGCACUCUGAAGCUAAGAAAUGACAGAAAUUAGUUUUCAGGUUAUGACCAUUUUUGUAUGUCGUUGCCAAAGUGAUUUAACUUGCACAGCCAUGCUCCAUGAAUGGGUAAUGGUGGAUGCUGGACACAUCUCCUGCAUGCAGCUUUUAUUGAUUUGUCAGAAUUUUACUCUGUACUGUUAGCUGUAGGCAGAACAUAGAUCAGUGUCACCUGAAUGGAAGUCUUCAGAGGUUAACAGCUGAACCAAAUUCACUUCAUGUGUUAAAACAGGUUCUUUUUUAGUGAAAGAGAUAGUUUGUGUUUUAGUGAACUUCCUCAUGAAAACCUGCACUGCUGGAGCUCUGUCUGCAAAAUCUCUCUCAUCUGCAAACCAAGGGGACUCUUGGAGCCAGCUUUGCAAGAUCAAGCCCUCAACUGCAGAGUGAAGCGGCAGAAAUAAUUUGAGAAAAGAAAAAAACAAUCCGAGCUCAUAACCCUGAGACAAAUUCUGUGGCUUUUGAGAAGAGUGAAUCCUCCCAAAGACCUGACAGAGAAUGUUCCAUCACCGUGAUAAUGUGGAGUUGCCCUUAAUUUCCCUUUGCUAGGGCUUUUAUCUGUAUUAAUUAUGGAUCUUCCUCCAUUUCCCUGAGAUCUUAAUAAAUUACAGAUCUUCCCUGAUAUUCAACCUACCCAGUUUUCCUUUAUCUGAUCCUAUUACCCCUCCUUGUUGAAGUUUGUUUUCCUUUUGCUAAGUUAAAAAUUGGAGAACACCUUUUCAGGAUUGGCUCCCAGUGUGCCUGAGCAGCUUAGGUAGGUAAUUCACAGGCGGGCAAGGUGACUGUUUAUCAGAAAGGCAAUGGCUCAAGUGUUUACAGAUUCUCCAGAUUUAACCUUGAUCCAUGGUUUUCCAUUUUGGAUAUGUUUCAGGCUGAUUUUCCUUUGUUUUUGUGAGAUUCAGCCAAGAAAGGCCAAGUGGGGUUAAAGGAAAGCAUGCUGUUUAGCCAUACAAAAAAUAAUCAUCAUCAUCAUCUUGUCAUGGUGUUCUGAGAAAUACCAGUGUUCCUUGCUUUAGAGUUGGAAUUUGCUACUGUCACAGAUGUGUCGUUUGCUAUUUCUACUAA